AAAUAUACUAUAGGAUAAACCAUGUAUUAAAAUCAUAUAAUAGGCCAAUUAUAUAGUUUAAGCAACCGUGCUAGAACCACAGAACUCGGAAAUGUCUAACACCUUCUCCCAGGUUAACAAAAUUCCUUACUUAGAAUUUUCGGUUCACAGACUUCAAAAUGAAAGUCAAAUUUCCUCGAUUUGGGAUUUUAACAUAAACCAGUGACUUGGGACAGCAAAUAAACUAUCCCAAGUAGUGACUCUGAUAAAUAAAUAUUCUCAUUUCGAAUAAUGUCACAUUAAUUGGAAAAACUCACUUACAUCCUUUUUGGGGUGUGUAAAAAGGAGUUGUGACAAUACACAUAUUGUAAAUGAAGCCAGAAGGUUGUGUUCUUGUAGAAAAUGGUAUAUCUACUACGUGAUGUGCUCAUAUGCUAUAAGGUGCUUUCAACAUACGCGUUGCGCGGCAACUAGCUAUAUUGAUAAGGAAUAUAGUGUUACUGCAUACUUAACACCAAUAGUUGACAGUUGCAGCCAGUGAGUGC
Molecule: long non-coding RNA, 524 nt
Filed under: Nicotiana benthamiana
Lineage: Eukaryota; Viridiplantae; Streptophyta; Magnoliopsida; Solanales; Solanaceae
Description: long non-coding RNA (NBEN_LNC029886)
Source: RNAcentral